This 250-nucleotide ribosomal RNA is filed under the name uncultured bacterium. RNAcentral's name for it is "partial 16S ribosomal RNA". It matches the Rfam family "Bacterial small subunit ribosomal RNA", at positions 525 to 775 of the family's 1533-position model. The record is from RNAcentral.
ACGGAGGAUGCGAGCGUUAUCCGGAUUUAUUGGGUUUAAAGGGUGCGUAGGCGGCACUAUAAGUUAGUGGUAAAAUAUCCGGGCUUCACCCGGACUCGCCAUUAAUACUGUAGAGCUCGAGUACAGACGAGGUAGGCGGAAUAAGUUAAGUAGCGGUGAAAUGCAUAGAUAUAACUUAGAACUCCGAUAGCGAAGGCAGCUUACCAGACUGUAACUGACGCUGAUGCACGAGAGCGUGGGUAUCGAACAG